ACGCAGCAACGCCGCGUGGGUGAUGAAGGUCUUCGGAUUGUAAAGCCCUGUCUUCAAGGACGAUAAUGACGGUACUCGAGGAGGAAGCCACGGCUAACUACGUGCCAGCAGCCGCGGUAAUACGUAGGUGGCAAGCGUUGUCCGGAUUUACUGCGCGUAAAGAGUGU
Molecule: ribosomal RNA, 167 nt
Filed under: uncultured bacterium
Lineage: Bacteria
Description: partial 16S ribosomal RNA
Rfam family: Bacterial small subunit ribosomal RNA
Source: RNAcentral